AUUGAACGCUGGCGGCAGGCCUAACACAUGCAAGUCGAGCGAGCGGCGGACGGGUGAGUAAUGUAUGGGGACUGCCCGAUAGAGGGGGAUAACUACUUGAAACGGUGGCUAAUUCCGCAUACCAUCUGAUAACCCUUAUGGGAUUAGCUAGUAGGCGGGGUAAAGGCUCACCUAGGCGACGAUGUCUAGCUGGUCUGAGAGGAGGAUCAGCCACACGGGGACUGAGACACGGCCCAGACUCCGACGGAGGCAGCAGUGGGGAAUAUUGCGCAAUGGGCGAAAGCCUGAUGCAGCCAUGCCGCGUGUAUGAAGAAGGCCUUAGGAUUGUAAAGUACUUUCAGCGGGGAGGCGUUACCCAAAGAAGAAGCACCGGCUAACUACGUGCCAGCAGCCGCGGUAAUAC
RNAcentral lists this ribosomal RNA (403 nucleotides) under uncultured bacterium. Its description in RNAcentral is "partial 16S ribosomal RNA". It matches the Rfam family "Bacterial small subunit ribosomal RNA", at positions 30 to 526 of the family's 1533-position model. The record is from RNAcentral.